This 1554-nucleotide ribosomal RNA is filed under the name Escherichia coli. RNAcentral describes it as "bacterial SSU rRNA". It matches the Rfam family "Bacterial small subunit ribosomal RNA". Lineage: Bacteria; Pseudomonadati; Pseudomonadota; Gammaproteobacteria; Enterobacterales; Enterobacteriaceae. The record is from RNAcentral.
AAAUUGAAGAGUUUGAUCAUGGCUCAGAUUGAACGCUGGCGGCAGGCCUAACACAUGCAAGUCGAACGGUAACAGGAAGAAGCUUGCUUCUUUGCUGACGAGUGGCGGACGGGUGAGUAAUGUCUGGGAAACUGCCUGAUGGAGGGGGAUAACUACUGGAAACGGUAGCUAAUACCGCAUAACGUCGCAAGACCAAAGAGGGGGACCUUCGGGCCUCUUGCCAUCGGAUGUGCCCAGAUGGGAUUAGCUUGUUGGUGGGGUAACGGCUCACCAAGGCGACGAUCCCUAGCUGGUCUGAGAGGAUGACCAGCCACACUGGAACUGAGACACGGUCCAGACUCCUACGGGAGGCAGCAGUGGGGAAUAUUGCACAAUGGGCGUAAGCCUGAUGCAGCCAUGCCGCGUGUAUGAAGAAGGCCUUCGGGUUGUAAAGUACUUUCAGCGGGGAGGAAGGGAGUAAAGUUAAUACCUUUGCUCAUUGACGUUACCCGCAGAAGAAGCACCGGCUAACUCCGUGCCAGCAGCCGCGGUAAUACGGAGGGUGCAAGCGUUAAUCGGAAUUACUGGGCGUAAAGCGCACGCAGGCGGUUUGUUAAGUCAGAUGUGAAAUCCCCGGGCUCAACCUGGGAACUGCAUCUGAUACUGGCAAGCUUGAGUCUCGUAGAGGGGGGUAGAAUUCCAGGUGUAGCGGUGAAAUGCGUAGAGAUCUGGAGGAAUACCGGUGGCGAAGGCGGCCCCCUGGACGAAGACUGACGCUCAGGUGCGAAAGCGUGGGGAGCAAACAGGAUUAGAUACCCUGGUAGUCCACGCCGUAAACGAUGUCGACUUGGAGGUUGUGCCCUUGAGGCGUGGCUUCCGGAGCUAACGCGUUAAGUCGACCGCCUGGGGAGUACGGCCGCAAGGUUAAAACUCAAAUGAAUUGACGGGGGCCCGCACAAGCGGUGGAGCAUGUGGUUUAAUUCGAUGCAACGCGAAGAACCUUACCUGGUCUUGACAUCCACAGAACUUUCCAGAGAUGGAUUGGUGCCUUCGGGAACUGUGAGACAGGUGCUGCAUGGCUGUCGUCAGCUCGUGUUGUGAAAUGUUGGGUUAAGUCCCGCAACGAGCGCAACCCUUAUCCUUUGUUGCCAGCGGUCCGGCCGGGAACUCAAAGGAGACUGCCAGUGAUAAACUGGAGGAAGGUGGGGAUGACGUCAAGUCAUCAUGGCCCUUACGACCAGGGCUACACACGUGCUACAAUGGCGCAUACAAAGAGAAGCGACCUCGCGAGAGCAAGCGGACCUCAUAAAGUGCGUCGUAGUCCGGAUUGGAGUCUGCAACUCGACUCCAUGAAGUCGGAAUCGCUAGUAAUCGUGGAUCAGAAUGCCACGGUGAAUACGUUCCCGGGCCUUGUACACACCGCCCGUCACACCAUGGGAGUGGGUUGCAAAAGAAGUAGGUAGCUUAACCUUCGGGAGGGCGCUUACCACUUUGUGAUUCAUGACUGGGGUGAAGUCGUAACAAGGUAACCGUAGGGGAACCUGCGGUUGGAUCACCUCCUUACCUUAAAGAAGC